Molecule: ribosomal RNA, 562 nt
Filed under: uncultured bacterium
Lineage: Bacteria
Description: partial 16S ribosomal RNA
Rfam family: Bacterial small subunit ribosomal RNA
Source: RNAcentral
UGGGGAAUAUUGCACAAUGGGCGCAAGCCUGAUGCAGCGACGCCGCGUGAGGGAUGACGGCCUUCGGGUUGUAAACCUCUUUCACCAGGGACGAAGCGCAAGUGACGGUACCUGGAGAAGAAGCACCGGCCAACUACGUGCCAGCAGCCGCGGUAAUACGUAGGGUGCGAGCGUUGUCCGGAAUUACUGGGCGUAAAGAGCUCGUAGGUGGUUUGUCGCGUUGUUCGUGAAAACUCACAACUCAAUUGUGGGCGUGCGGGCGAUACGGGCAGACUAGAGUACUGCAGGGGAGACUGGAAUUCCUGGUGUAGCGGUGGAAUGCGCAGAUAUCAGGAGGAACACCGGUGGCGAAGGCGGGUCUCUGGGCAGUAACUGACGCUGAGGAGCGAAAGCGUGGGGAGCGAACAGGAUUAGAUACCCUGGUAGUCCACGCCGUAAACGGUGGGUACUAGGUGUGGGUUCCUUCCUUGGGAUCCGUGCCGUAGCUAACGCAUUGAAGUACCCCGCCUGGGGAGUACGGCCGCAAGGCUAAAACUUAAAGGAAUUGACGGGGUCAUAGCUG